UACGUAGGUGGCAAGCGUUGUCCGGAUUUACUGGGUGUAAAGGGCGUGUAGCCGGGCUGACAAGUCAGAUGUGAAAUCCGGGGGCUCAACCCCCGAACUGCAUUUGAAACUGUUGGUCGUGAGUAUCGGAGAGGCAGGCGGAAUUCCUAGUGUAGCGGUGAAAUGCGUAGAUAUUAGGAGGAACACCAGUGGCGAAGGCGGCCUGCUGGACGACAACUGACGGUGAGGCGCGAAAGCGUGGGGAGCAAACAGG
This 253-nucleotide ribosomal RNA is filed under the name uncultured bacterium. RNAcentral's name for it is "partial 16S ribosomal RNA". It matches the Rfam family "Bacterial small subunit ribosomal RNA", at positions 524 to 776 of the family's 1533-position model. The record is from RNAcentral.